CUGCCCGUAGCUCAACUGGAUAGAGCAGCUGCCUUCUAAGCAGCAGGUCGCAGGUUCGAGUCCUGCCGGGCAGGCCA
This 77-nucleotide transfer RNA is filed under the name Rubrivivax sp. RNAcentral's name for it is "tRNA-Arg". It matches the Rfam family "tRNA". Rfam says of the family: Transfer RNA (tRNA) molecules are approximately 80 nucleotides in length. Their secondary structure includes four short double-helical elements and three loops (D, anti-codon, and T loops). Lineage: Bacteria; Pseudomonadati; Pseudomonadota; Betaproteobacteria; Burkholderiales; Sphaerotilaceae. RNAcentral also lists the same sequence under 5 other names. The record is from RNAcentral.